This 387-nucleotide ribosomal RNA is filed under the name uncultured bacterium. RNAcentral describes it as "bacterial SSU rRNA". It matches the Rfam family "Bacterial small subunit ribosomal RNA", at positions 28 to 416 of the family's 1533-position model. The record is from RNAcentral.
GACGAACGCUGGCGGCGUGCUUAACACAUGCAAGUCGAGCGAGGCCCUCCCUUCGGGGAGGUGUCCUAGCGGCGAACGGGUGAGUAACACGUGGGCAACCUGCCCUCAGCUCUGGGAUAACCCCGGGAAACCGGAGCUAAUACCGGAUACGACUUCGGGAGACAUCUCCUGAGGUGGAAAGAAUUUCGGCUGAGGAUGGGCCCGCGGCCUAUCAGCUUGUUGGUGGGGUAAUGGCCCACCAAGGCGACGACGGGUAGCCGGCCUGAGAGGGCGACCGGCCACACUGGGACUGAGACACGGCCCAGACUCCUACGGGAGGCAGCAGUGGGGAAUAUUGCGCAAUGGGCGAAAGCCUGACGCAGCGACGCCGCGUGAGGGAUGAAGGCC